RNAcentral lists this ribosomal RNA (710 nucleotides) under uncultured bacterium. Its description in RNAcentral is "bacterial SSU rRNA". It matches the Rfam family "Bacterial small subunit ribosomal RNA", at positions 1 to 757 of the family's 1533-position model. The record is from RNAcentral.
UUCGCCCUUAGAGUUUGAUCCUUGCUCAGAACGAACGCUGGCGGCAGGCUUAACACAUGCAAGUCGAGCGCCCCGCAAGGGGAGCGGCAGACGGGUGAGUAACGCGUGGGAAUCUACCCAUCACUACGGAACAACUCCGGGAAACUGGAGCUAAUACCGUAUACGUCCUUCGGGAGAAAGAUUUAUCGGUGAUGGAUGAGCCCGCGUUGGAUUAGCUAGUUGGUGGGAUAAUGGCCUACCAAGGCGACGAUCCAUAGCUGGUUUGAGAGGAUGAUCAGCCACACUGGGAUUGAGACACGGCCCAGACUCCUACGGGAGGCAGCAGUGGGGAAUAAUGGACAAUGGGCGCAAGCAUGAUCCAGCCAUGCCGCGUGAGUGAUGAAGGCCCUAGGGUUGUAAAGCUAUAUCAACGGUGAAGAUAAUGACGGUAACCGUAGAAGAAGCCCCGGCUAACUUCGUGCCAGCAGCCGCGGUAAUACGAAGGGGGCUAGCGUUGUUCGGAUUUACUGGGCGUAAAGCGCACGUAGGCGGAUUGUUAAGUUAGGGGUGAAAUCCCAGGGCUCAACCCUGGAACUGCCUUUAAUACUGGCAAUCUCGAGUCCGGAAGAGGUGAGUGGAAUUCCGAGUGUAGAGGUGAAAUUCGUAGAUAUUCGGAGGAACACCAGUGGCGAAGGCGGCUCACUGGUCCGGUACUGACGCUGAGGUGCGAA